This 247-nucleotide ribosomal RNA is filed under the name Klebsiella pneumoniae. RNAcentral describes it as "partial 16S ribosomal RNA". It matches the Rfam family "Bacterial small subunit ribosomal RNA", at positions 1072 to 1320 of the family's 1533-position model. Lineage: Bacteria; Pseudomonadati; Pseudomonadota; Gammaproteobacteria; Enterobacterales; Enterobacteriaceae. The record is from RNAcentral.
GUGUCGGGUCAAGUCCCAUAACGAGCGCAACCCCUUCGUCCAGUUGCCACCGGUUCGGCUGGGCACUCUGGACGGACUGCCCGCGCAAGCGGAGAGGAAGGCGGGGAUGACGUCAAAUCAGCACGGCCCUUACGUCCGGGGCGACACACGUGCUACAAUGGCCGGCACAGAGGGCAGCCACGCGGCGACGCGGAGCGAAUCCCGAAAGCCGGUCUCAGUCCGGAUCGGAGCCUGCAACCCGGCUCCG